GUGCUCACUUCAACAGCACAUAUACUAAAAUCAGAAUGAUACAGAGAAAAUUAACAUGAGCCCUGCUAAAGGAUGACAUACAAAUUUGUGAAGUGUUCCAUAUUUUU
This 107-nucleotide small nuclear RNA is filed under the name Sciurus vulgaris (Eurasian red squirrel). Lineage: Eukaryota; Metazoa; Chordata; Mammalia; Rodentia; Sciuridae. The record is from RNAcentral.